AUGAGCUUCUACAGCCUUCCGGAGACUCUACAUCACGAGAUUGCCACCGUUCAGGGGCGUUUCUUCUGGGCCGGCGAGGGGGAUAAGCAGAAGUACCACAUGGUCAGGUGGUCUGAGAUCUGCAAACCUCGCGACCAGGGAGGCCUCGGGAUCAUGUCCUCCAAACGCAUGAACAUUGCCCUUCUGAAUCGGUGGCUCUGGUGGAUAGGCAAGGGAGAUGGUGGCCUGUGGCUUCGCAUCAUUCAGCGGAAAUACCUCUGA
RNAcentral lists this ribosomal RNA (261 nucleotides) under Triticum aestivum (bread wheat). Its description in RNAcentral is "partial small subunit ribosomal RNA". Lineage: Eukaryota; Viridiplantae; Streptophyta; Magnoliopsida; Poales; Poaceae. The record is from RNAcentral.